RNAcentral lists this non-coding RNA (21 nucleotides) under Caenorhabditis elegans. The record is from RNAcentral. Lineage: Eukaryota; Metazoa; Nematoda; Chromadorea; Rhabditida; Rhabditidae.
UCGUUGGUCUCCUUCAUCUUC